Long non-coding RNA from Wyeomyia smithii (pitcher-plant mosquito), 5434 nucleotides. RefSeq lists it as uncharacterized. Lineage: Eukaryota; Metazoa; Arthropoda; Insecta; Diptera; Culicidae. The transcript has 3 exons. The record is from RefSeq and is a predicted model, not a curated record.
GCGUACAAACAGCGCGAGGAAAAAAUAAAGCGUUCCCUCAAGGAACGAUCAAAGCGCUCUUUCGCAGAAAUGCUGAAGAGUGCUGAGCCACCCUCGACAGGAAACAUCUUUUCCUUUUUGCCAACCGAUGAGGGUACAUCUGACGAUCCUGUCGAAGGGUGUUCUUAUGCCAUGCCAGAAGGAUCUAGGAAGAGGAGAAUGAUCAACUCUCCUAAUCUUUCUCGCAAAGGUCGCAAGAUAACCCCUUGCGGAAUGACCAAUAAGCCAACACAAAAAGGAAGCGGUGAAUAAAAACCGAAGCAAGUACCUCCCGGUUUUAAUUUUAAAUCAAACCAGGAGUACCCACCGCUUCCUGGGGCACCAAAAACCCCUCGUGCACCCAUUUCUCGAUCAGAAGAUAAAAAAGAAACAGGGUUCAUAAAAUUUUCUGAUAUUGUGGACUGGAUAUUUAAAACAUUCAACAUACCAGAUCCCCUACAAAAUAUUCUUCUUGCCCUUCUUCCUACAGUGAAAACCUUUUUGAUGCAACUAGCAGCAACUUGGCCCCUCAUUUCAGCUAUCAUAUCUUUCGAUGACUAAUACGGCGAAAGAGGAUAGGAAUUUUAUCACUGUAUUACAGUGGAAUUGCAGAAGUAUCAUCCCCAAAUUCGAUCUAUUUUCUCAUUUAAUAAAUACAUACAAUUGUGACGCAUUUGCGCUCUGUGAAACCUUUCUCAAUUCAAACGAUCAACUCAAUUUCCACGAUUUUAACAUUAUUCGUCGAGAUCGAGACUCACACGGUGGAGGGGUACUUUUAGGGAUUAAAAAGUGCUAUUCCUUCUUCCGAAUCGACCUCCCCUCGAUCUCGAAUAUUGAAGUCGUUGCCAUUCAAACGAAUAUGAAUGGAAAAGACCUAUGCCUUGUUUCGUUAUAUAUGCCUCCAUCCGCGCGAAUUGAACAGAAGCAUCUCACUGAUAUAGCAGAGUUGCUUCCCGCGUCUUUUUUGAUAUUGGGAGAUUUUAAUUCUCACUGUUCGCUAUAGGGGUCGCUGUACGACGACAACCGAUCUUCUUUAAUCUGUAACUUAAUCGACGACUUCAAUAUGACAUUUUUGAAUACUGGGGAAGCGACACGUGUACCUAAUCCUCCAGCACGUGAAAGCGUGCUUGACCUAUCCCUAGUGAUAGUCGAUCACUAGCGUUAGAUUGCCGGUGGAAAGUAAUCAACGAUCCCCACGGAAGUGAUCACCUACCAAUCGUUAUCUCAAUUGCUAAUGGGUCAAUUCCAACGGAUCCAAUCGAUAUUGCGUAUGACCUCACACGUAACAUUGAUUGGAUGUCUUAUGAGACCAUAAUAUCGCAAAGAAUCGAGUCCCACGUGGAACUUCCUCCGGAGGAAGAAUACGCGUUCCUUUCUGGCUUGAUCAUCGACGCCGCGACUCAAGCUCAGACGAAACCGAUACCCGGGGUAACGAUUAGACGGCGCCCUCCCUCCAAGUGGACAAAGGGUGCUCAGACCUGUACGCGCGAAGGUCCACGGUGUAUUUGGCCUUCCGAGAACAAGGCACUAUCGAUUUGCUCCGAAAGUACGAUGUACUGGAUAGACAGAUGAAGAGCUUGAUAAAAGCAAAAAAACGCGGAUACUGGCGGCGGUUCGUAAACGCGUUGUCGAGGGAAACAGCGAUAAGCACUCUUUGGGAUACCGCCAGACGCAUGCGGAAUCGUAACGUUUCGAAUGAGUCCGAGGAGUAUUCAGAUCGCUGGAUACUCGUUUCGCCAAAAAGGUCUGCCCGGACUCUGUCCCCGAACAGAAGACCUUUCGCGACGCGUUAUUAGUAACUACGGAAGAGCCUUCAUUUUCGAUGUUGGAAUUUUCAAUGGCUCUCCUCUCGUGCAACAAUAAAGCCCCAGGGUUGGAUAGAAUAAAAUUCAACCUGUUGAAGAAUCUACCCGACUCUGCAAAAAGACGCUUGUUGAACUUAUUCAACAAGUUCCUUGAGCUAAACAUUGUUCCGCAAGACUGGAGGGAGGUAAAAGUCAUUGCUAUUCAAAAACCCGGAAAACCUGCCUCUGAUCACAAUUCUUAAAGGCCGAUUGCUAUGCUCUCUUGCCUCAGGAAAUUAAUGGAGAAAAUGAUCCUCUUACGGUUAGACAAAUGGGUCGAAACAAAUGGUUUACUUUCAGGUACUCAAUUUGGCUUUCGCCGGGGCAAAGGAACGAACGAUUGCCUAGCGUUGCUUUCUACCGAAAUUCAACUCGCCUUUGCUCGAAAAGAGCAAAUGGCUUCUGCAUUCUUGGACAUUAAGGGGGCAUUUUACUCUGUCUCUGUAGAAGUUUUAACCGAGAAACUUCAUUCGCAGGGACUUUCACCAAAUUUGGAUAAUUUUUUGUUCAAUUUGUCGUCAGAAAAGCAUAUGUAUUUCUCACAUGGUGAUUCGACAACUUCCCGAAUUAGUUACAUGGGCCUUCCUCAGGGCUCAUGUUUAAGCCCUCUCUUAUAUAAUUUUUACGUCAAUGACAUCGAUAAAUGUCUUGCAAAUUCAUGCACGCUACGGCAACUUGCAGACGAUAGCGUUGUAUCCAUUACUGGAAGCGAGGCUAGCGAUCUGCAAGGACCAUUGCGAAAUACCUUACACAAUUUGUCUGAAUGAGCUCUUAAGCUGGGUAUCGAAAUCCCUCCGGCGAAAACUGAGCUGGUCGUUUUUUCUAGGAAGCAUAACCCAGCUCAGCUGCAGCUCCUACUAACGGGUAAAACGAUCUCUCAGGUUUUAGUCGCUAAAUAUCUCGGGGUCUGGUGCGACUCUAAAUGCACCUGGGCUUGUCAUAUUAGGUAUCUAACACGAAAAUGCCAUCAGAGGAUUAAUUUUCUUCGUACGAUUACCGGAACCUGGUGGUGUUGUCACUACCCUCCAAGUAGGGUAGCUUCCCGACAAACUUCAGCAACACGAGACCUGGACUUAGUCACAAGGCCGGCGCGCUACUUGGCAAACUGGAGGGAUUUUGCGAUACUAAAUUUCACUGAAACGCUCAACUUCUUUAAAAAGUGUUUUAUUGAACGGUGUGGUGUGUGCUUCGACGGGGGUCACGACAGGUACGUACCGCUACUUCUCUCGACUCUCCUGGCUCGAUGUGCGGCGUCCCGCGUCGAACGAUGAUUUUCCGCCGGUCAGCGACAGGGCGGCUGCAACUGCGUGGGUGGUGUGUAGGCGACCUGGAAAGGCGUUCCAGGCAAGGGUCUUCUCAGGCGCUUCCUUCGUUGGCGUGGAUCGGUUGGCGACGGACGAUACCGACUUCUGCCGAACCGAGAAGAGAAUCCUCUCCUUUACGGUUAGGGCCGUUGCCCGAGAGCAUGUUGGUCUUUUACGGUUAGUCGUAGACAACUUAAUGCUGCCUAGGCCGAAGCGGGUGCCGAGUGCUAUCGCGAUCGCCAAUCGCAAAUUUAUUAAAUGCAACAAAAAGGUCCUAUGGGCGGGAAAUUUUCCCAAAACUAGCCAGGUUCAGAGGUAUUUUACGGUGGCGGAUACAUUAAUCACUUAUUUCCGUGGUUACCUGAAUAAUUCUUAUGAUUGUCCUCUUUUACUCCUCAGUUUCUCCGGUUCAACAAUCAUUUACCACCAAUUACCUCUUUUUUUGAAAAAACUCGCACCUCUUUAUCACUCGCUCGCCUGAAUUCAAAUGCGCUGUUGGCGCGUACUCGAUAGCCGCCAAUGCUCGUAGUUCAAAUUUGGUAUGGCGGCUAGUCGACUCAUUUCGCCCCGUAUGCGACAGCCCAUCGGUUUUGUGUAAGAGUUGAACUGUGGAAGCUUAGUACGUUACAUGAAAAAUAGGUGAGCGUUUACUAGGUACAUUUCAUACAAUUAAAAAAACAUUUGAUUUCACUGUAACGAUCGGUUACACUAUCCCCCACUCCGGUUAAAUAAUUGAACUAUUCAGUUCAAUUAUUUAGAACGAAAAGCUUCGGAAGCUGUCAAGUGGUUACUGAACAUAAAACGAACAAAUACAUCGCAACACGUAGUAGUUAAAAAACAUGGAAUCAGUGGAACAUCACGACUUGUAGCAACUAAGAGUACAUUUUUCGUUCGAAAAUCUGCCAUAAUUGUACAUAUGUAAUAUUUUUGUUUAGUGUAACUGAGUGUUCAUUGACAUCAGUGGUGAGUAAUGUUCCUACUAUUGCUUCGUUAAGUUCAUCUCAGUUUCAUCUUGCUUCCGCAGGGGAAGGAGAUCACUUAUCAGUAUCUAUUCGUCCGGGUGCUAUUAGUGUAAAAGUAGUUGAGCUUAUAACAAAGUUGGAGCAAUUUACUAAGGGACUAUACUUGCACGUGACAUAUCUACAUAAUAAAAAAUAUGAGGAUUGACCGACGCAACAAACAAAAAUACCAAACUGAACAAUAAAUAUUAAAAUUAUGUAUCGCUUUAAUGUUAGGCUAAAAGAAAAGUUUAUUUCCAGGUUCAUUCGGCUGGUUGGCCUUCCAGCGAAUUUCAGGUGUCCAAGGAUGGGGUUCCUUUCGAUUAAAUGAUGGUGCUUUCACGCGUAAAAGCUAAUUUGUCACGUUAUUCCACCUGAAGAACGAACCUGAUAACCAACGCAUUUCAUUCGCCGUUUGCGAUACUUUAUGCUUUCAGAAUGAGUGAUGAGUAGUUUCGAUCUCUUUUCAGCAAGAAGCUUUUCUCUCUUGCUGCACGAAGCUUUCAUCGCCGCGGUCCGGGUUCAUUAAACGCACGACGAUCGAUGAACAUUAUGACAGAUUCAUCUAGCACUCGAUGAACUUGAAACACGUCAAUGAGCGCAUCUCGCUGUUAGCCUGCCAUAAUCUGAAGCAUGCUUCUAGAUACUCGGAUUUUUCAGUGCUUAUUAUCUGGCCGAAGAUCGGCUGCAGAAAAUAUUCCCAGAUUUUUACCGUUUUCAUCUGCCAAUUCAUAAGAACUUGUACCUCUCCUCGCAACGACUACGCAUGGGAGAUAGAGAGGUCCAUAUUUGGCAUUGUAAUGAUCGGCCGCUGAGGAUAAUCGAAAGUUCUUCUUCAAUACGGACUGGCCCACUUGCACAUAUUGAAUCUUCGUAAGUUUUUCCUCGAUCUGACAGAAUUCUAGUUCCUGUGCUUCCUUAGAAACCAGCGGAACAUCCUCAACUUCUGGCUGAGCUUAAGCGAACUACGCAGUUUUCGCUUUUUUGCAUCUCGCGAAUCACCACUAGAAAAUUUUUGCUGGCGUAUUAGCAACUCGUGUUCGAUUUCAUCGUCCAACAAGUGCUCAGGAUUCAACGACCGGUAUUGUAAUUUAAAUUUAGACGUCAUUGUCUUUUUAGAAUAAGUACCGAAAGUUAAAUUAAUUUUACUUAAAAAAAAUAUUUAUUUACAAGCAAAUCUAAACUAUAAUAUUAUAAGAAAAUUCAAACUUAAAUAAUUUAUUUAGGAAAAAGUAGCACAAUAGUAAAAAUAAUAAAUAAUUGAUGUCAA